CCUACGGGUGGCAGCAGUGGGGAAUAUUGGACAAUGGGGGGAACCCUGAUCCAGCCAUGCCGCGUGUGUGAAGAAGGCCCUCGGGUUGUAAAGCACUUUCAGUGAGGAAGAACGCCUGGUGGUUAAUACCCAUCAGGAAAGACAUCACUCACAGAAGAAGCACCGGCUAACUCCGUGCCAGCAGCCGCGGUAAUACGGAGGGUGCGAGCGUUAAUCGGAAUUACUGGGCGUAAAGCGCGCGUAGGUGGCUUGAUAAGCCGGUUGUGAAAGCCCCGGGCUCAACCUGGGAACGGCAUCCGGAACUGUCAAGCUAGAGUGGAGGAGAGGAAGGUAGAAUUCCCGGUGUAGCGGUGAAAUGCGUAGAGAUCGGGAGGAAUACCAGUGGCGAAGGCGGCCUUCUGGACUGACACUGACACUGAGGUGCGAAAGCGUGGGUAGCAAACAGGAUUAGAUACCCGGGUAGUC
This 465-nucleotide ribosomal RNA is filed under the name Vreelandella stevensii. RNAcentral describes it as "partial 16S ribosomal RNA". It matches the Rfam family "Bacterial small subunit ribosomal RNA", at positions 338 to 795 of the family's 1533-position model. Lineage: Bacteria; Pseudomonadati; Pseudomonadota; Gammaproteobacteria; Oceanospirillales; Halomonadaceae. The record is from RNAcentral.